RNAcentral lists this ribosomal RNA (484 nucleotides) under uncultured bacterium. RNAcentral's name for it is "partial 16S ribosomal RNA". It matches the Rfam family "Bacterial small subunit ribosomal RNA", at positions 30 to 507 of the family's 1533-position model. The record is from RNAcentral.
AUUGAACGCUGGCGGCAGGCCUAACACAUGCAAGUCGAGCGGAUGAAGGGAGCUUGCUCCUGGAUUCAGCGGCGGACGGGUGAGUAAUGCCUAGGAAUCUGCCUGGUAGUGGGGGAUAACGUCCGGAAACGGGCGCUAAUACCGCAUACGUCCUGAGUGAGAAAGUGGGGGAUCUUCGGACUUCACGCUAUCAGAUGAGCCUAGGUCGGAUUAGCUAGUUGGUGGGGUAAAGGCCUACCAAGGCGACGAUCCGUAACUGGUCUGAGAGGAUGAUCAGUCACACUGGAACUGAGACACGGUCCAGACUCCUACGGGAGGCAGCAGUGGGGAAUAUUGGACAAUGGGCGAAAGCCUGAUCCAGCCAUGCCGCGUGUGUGAAGAAGGUCUUCGGAUUGUAAAGCACUUUAAGUUGGGAGGAAGGGCAGUAAGUUAAUACCUUGCUGUUUUGACGUUACCAACAGAAUAAGAACCGGCUAACUUCGUG